AUGAAUGACACCAACAUACCGACUAUGAGUUGGAACGUGAGGGGACUAAACUCACCUGCAAGACGCGCUGUCAUCUGUGACACUGCAAGUGCACACAAACUAGCCAUACUUUACCUUCAAGAAACAAAGAUCGACUGCUGGUCCACCUGCUUAGCUAGGGAAGUAGGAGGCACCUGGCUUGACCAGCGCAUUAUGCUUCCAGCCAUUGGAACGAGAGGAGGGGAGGCCAUCUUUUGGAACUCUAGCCUGGUGACCGUGCAGUCUCACUCGAUAGGGCGUUUCUCCAUCACGGCAAAAGUUUUGGUAGGAGGGACAGACAAGGAGGACUGGCUAACUACUGUCUAUGGGCCUUCGGACGACGAGCAGAAAGACGACUUCCUCGCAGAACUAGCUAGGGUUGCACCACCAACAGGCCAGGCAUGGCUCAUAAAUGGCGACUUCAACAUCAUAUACGAGGCUAGAGACAAGAGUAAUAGCAACAUCAACCGUAGGCUCAUGGGAAAAUUUAGAGCGACGAUCAAUGCCGGUGGCCUACGUGAAAUCAAAUGCAAAAAACCGCCAUUUCACCUGGAGCAAUGA
Molecule: ribosomal RNA, 579 nt
Filed under: Triticum aestivum (bread wheat)
Lineage: Eukaryota; Viridiplantae; Streptophyta; Magnoliopsida; Poales; Poaceae
Description: partial small subunit ribosomal RNA
Source: RNAcentral